This is a long non-coding RNA of Cannabis sativa, 870 nucleotides long. RefSeq lists it as uncharacterized. The record is from RefSeq and is a predicted model, not a curated record. The transcript has 2 exons. NCBI's taxonomy places the organism in Eukaryota, Viridiplantae, Streptophyta, Magnoliopsida, Rosales, Cannabaceae.
AAUAAUAAAUAAAUAAUUAAAACAUACUGCGAUUCGACGAAACGGAGCAUCCGAAAGACUCGAUCUGAAACCCGCAAUCUCCACCACGCGCGACGCAAUCUCUGCAAUCCGGGUUGAUCCACCACGACAAUUUGAUAUCUCCAGUUAUAUCCGAAAAAUUAACGGGCGGAACGUACGGACGAGGAACCAUAGCCGUAGAAAUCACAGUGCAAGUAAGUGGUGACGGUGAAUCUAGUAUGAUAUAGUGGUAAAGCACAGUUGGAACGGCGAAAACGGAGAAUUCGUCGUUUCCGUCACUCAGACAAGAAAUAGGGCUGAGAUCAUACUUAAUCGUCGACAUAUAAUCUAAGGAACAAUUAAGAAACGUGUAAUUUUCAAGUCGAUCGACUACGAAAGGAUCGGUACUGUUGAAGAGAUUGAAUUCUCGAUUCAAGAAUCGUUUGGGAAAGAUCGAUGCCUAUUCGGUUGCUGCAUCGAUUUCGUUGCGAUGUGUUUCUGUUUCUUAAUCGGAAUGGGAAGUGAACUGGUGGUGGAUUAGUUGCUCCGGUACAGGUUAAAGAAUCGCAGUUGUUGUUGAUGUUCUCUGCUGUUGUUAGCUGAGAAAGAGAGAAGUGAAGGAGGAAGAAGAAGAGUAGGAAGAUUGUGUGAGACGCCAUUGAUGGAGCUUUAGUUAGUUGCAGAAGAAGAAGUUGGUGUGUUCUUGGGUCUUAUAAGAGAGGUUUUGAUUAGGUGUAUCGCGGAGGGACUUGGUUAAGUACAACCGGUUAGAGGUUUUGUUUUGUCUAAUUUGUUUUACUACAAGGUGGUGAUCAAAUAAAUAGCAUAUAUUGUUGUCUUUGAUUAAUAUUGGAUUGUUGUUUGAGUAAGAAA